AUCAUUAUCGAAUUAUAGGCAAAGGUUGUCGCUGGCCUCCUGGGGCAUGUGCACGCCUGAGCUCUUAAUCCAAAUUACACCUGUGAACUUAAUGUGGGAUGGUCUCCCUUCGGGGAAGCAAGUCUCAUGUCUUUCAUACACACACUUGUCUCAGAAUGUCUUACAUGUUGUUUGCUUUGAUGCAAUCAAAUAAAUAAAUACAACUUUCAACAACGGAUCUCUUGGCUCUCGCAUCGAUGAAGAACGCAGCGAAAUGCGAUAAGUAAUGUGAAUUGCAGAUUUUCAGUGAAUCAUCGAAUCUUUGAACGCACCUUGCGCUCCUUGGUAUUCCGAGGAGCAUGCCUGUUUGAGUGUCAUUAAAUUCUCAACUUUGCUUGUCUUUUCAAGCAAAGCUUGGAUUUUGGAGCGUGCUGGCGAAGGUCGGCUCCUCUUUAAAUACAUCAGCGGAAAGUCAUUUCAAAUGACUUUGACUUUUGCGGUGAAUCGGCGUGAUAAUAAAUGUUGUUGCGUCGUUGGCCCGAAGGUCUCUGUCCGCUUACAAUGGUCUUCGGACGACUUAUUAUGAAACUUGACCUCAAAUCAGGUAGGACUACCCGCUGAACUUAAGCAUAUCAAUAAGCGGAGGAAAAGAAACUAACAAGGAUUCCCCUAGUAACUGCGAGUGAAGCGGGAAAAGCUCAAAUUUAAAAUCUGGCGGCCUGUAU
RNAcentral lists this ribosomal RNA (704 nucleotides) under uncultured fungus. RNAcentral's name for it is "eukaryotic LSU rRNA". The stretch from base 202 to 356 matches the Rfam family "5.8S ribosomal RNA". Lineage: Eukaryota; Fungi. The record is from RNAcentral.